CCUACGGGGGGCAGCAGUAAGGAAUAUUGCGCAAUGGGCGAAAGCCUGACGCAGCGACGCCGCGUGGGGGAUGAAGGUCUUCGGAUUGUAAACCCCUUUCGGGAGGGAAAAUGGGACGAGCAAUCGUUCGGAUGGUACCUCCAGAAGCAGCCACGGCUAACUUCGUGCCAGCAGCCGCGGUAAUACGAAGGUGGCAAGCGUUGUUCGGAUUUACUGGGCGUACAGGGAGCGUAGGCGGUUUGGUAAGCCCCCCGGGAAAUCUUCGGGCUCAACCCGGAAAGGUCGGGGGGAACUGCCAGGCUAGAGGAUGGGAGAGGAGCGCGGAAUUCCCGGUGUAGCGGUGAAAUGCGUAGAGAUCGGGAGGAAGGCCGGUGGCGAAGGCGGCGCUCUGGAACAUUUCUGACGCUGAGGCUCGAAAGCGUGGGGAGCAAACAGGAUUA
RNAcentral lists this ribosomal RNA (440 nucleotides) under uncultured bacterium. RNAcentral's name for it is "bacterial SSU rRNA". It matches the Rfam family "Bacterial small subunit ribosomal RNA", at positions 338 to 780 of the family's 1533-position model. The record is from RNAcentral.